Molecule: ribosomal RNA, 483 nt
Filed under: uncultured bacterium
Lineage: Bacteria
Description: partial 16S ribosomal RNA
Rfam family: Bacterial small subunit ribosomal RNA
Source: RNAcentral
AUUGAACGCUGGCGGCAUGCCUUACACAUGCAAGUCGAACGGCAGCGCGGGAGCAAUCCUGGCGGCGAGUGGCGAACGGGUGAGUAAUACAUCGGAACGUGCCCAAUCGUGGGGGAUAACGCAGCGAAAGCUGUGCUAAUACCGCAUACGAUCUACGGAUGAAAGCAGGGGAUCGCAAGACCUUGCGCGAAUGGAGCGGCCGAUGGCAGAUUAGGUAGUUGGUGAGGUAAAGGCUCACCAAGCCUUCGAUCUGUAGCUGGUCUGAGAGGACGACCAGCCACACUGGGACUGAGACACGGCCCAGACUCCUACGGGAGGCAGCAGUGGGGAAUUUUGGACAAUGGGCGAAAGCCUGAUCCAGCCAUGCCGCGUGCAGGAUGAAGGCCUUCGGGUUGUAAACUGCUUUUGUACGGAACGAAACGGUCUUUUCUAAUAAAGAAGGCUAAUGACGGUACCGUAAGAAUAAGCACCGGUUAACUACGU